RNAcentral lists this ribosomal RNA (620 nucleotides) under Calathus melanocephalus. RNAcentral's name for it is "eukaryotic LSU rRNA". The record is from RNAcentral. Lineage: Eukaryota; Metazoa; Arthropoda; Insecta; Coleoptera; Carabidae.
CCCGAAAGUUCGAACGGGGAGAUUCAAUUGCCUCGCCGGUUAUGACCAUUUAACAGUGAUGUGUUUAUGAUAUAUAUUUGAGACAUUAUAUGGCGGUUGCGGGUUUAUUCUCGUAGCUGUUUCUGUAUAGUGCUCCACUGUUUUAUGAUAUAUAGUUUAUAGCCGGAGGCGUGCACUUCUCCCCUUGUAGGACGUCGUGACCCAUUGGAUUAUGUUGUCUAAGGCUUAUAAUGGAGACCGUGGCAUUAAGUUUCGGCUUUAAUGACCCGGACUUAUAGUGUCCCGACAUCUAUCCGAUGGUAUAAUUAUGAUGAUAGAUCGCUAAUGAGCGUUCAGAUCCAUAACAAAUGCUUUAUUAUGAGACAAAUAGUGGAAAUCGGAUUUAAUGCCGAUUCUACACAUAUGGUAUUGUUAGUUGUGGUAUUCUCGAACCGUUCUUUAAAUAUCAUCAGUCAACGGCGUUUAUGUUUUGGGUAAUUACAGGACCCGUCUUGAAACACGGACCAAGGAGUCUAGCAUGUGCGCAAGUCAUUGGGACUUUGUGAAACCUAAAGGCGUAAUGAAAGUGAAAUAUUUGUGAAUUUUCGUAAUUCACUGAAUUUAAGGGAAGAUGGGUAACG